ACCUUGGUAGACCGGGAACAAGAUUCGAGACAUGGAAAUUCUUUUCGGUUGUUUCCUUGUUUGCUUUGGAGAGUCUAAUGUGGAUGGUUUUUAGUGGAUUCAUUGGAUGUUGUAAUUGCACUGGGGGAAAAUCCACAUAGAUUAGUCAUGAAUUCUAUACUAUUCAGCCCCCAUGUGUCAGCCCUUUUCUCAAUUGUCGCCUGCUGGAAAGAACAUACUGGAACUUGGUGUUGGGACAUGGCCUAACUUCAAAUACUAUGCAAGCGAAUAUGGGUUAAUGUAAUUGGAGUGGACUCUAACAAGCACAUGGAAAACUAGGCAAGGACUGCUAUUGUGUCUGCUGGACUCCCAUCAUCAAGCUUCACAUUCAGAAGAGGUUGUUGAAGCCUUGCCGGCAGAAGACAAUUCCAUAGAUGUGGUGAUCAGCACACUGGUAUUUUGUUCUGUAAAUAACAUCGACAUGGCACUGAGAGAUGAUACAUUGCUCCGCUUGGUUCAAGGUGCGCUUGAUCCCUCGCAGCAAAUUUGUAGCCGACAGAUCUGAGCCUGUACAGUGUCCGAGUGUCAAAUGCCUACAUCAUUAGCAUUUAUGUUUAUGGCAUAGCCUACAAGUGAGGUAUUUCCUCUUCCGCCAUCUUUUAAAAUAGUUGCAAAUGAUGUCCCGUGUCUUCCAUCAAUAAGGGGUUUGUGGAAUGUAAAGUUGUUUCAAAAGAAAUCAUUUGUUUUUUGGUAACCAUUCCUUAAAAACUUCAUUCGUAAAACCGUUCGACAAGCCGACUAACUUGCAGCUGUAACUAUAAUGGGAAAAAUCCAAAUAACUUAUUCAUGAAUUAUAUACUAUUCAGUCCCCAUGUAUCCUGCUGAACUAAUCUCUCCAGUGAUCUUUUGUUGCUGAUCUGAGACGGCCAGGUGGGUUCCUCCUCAUAAGGUGUGUCAUCGGUUACACAUGGAUUUAAUAAUAUCCUGCAUCAUUCUAUUAGUUCCUACUGAAUUAAAUAAAGACCACAAUGCCCAUAUAGACUUUGGUAAGGUAGAGAAGCAUGUGCGCACUAUCGGUGGUGGAAGCCUGGUACUGUUAGGUAACUACUGCACUACUGCUCAGAAAAUAGAUUGCAUUCCUUCUAGAAUGUCAAGGAUGUAUUAGUGACCAAUUUAAACUUUGAUGGUAAAUUUUUAUGUUUCCGCAUGAAUUUGUGUAUCAGAGAAGACACACAAAAUAUCUUUUGAAUCCCAAUGUCAACUCUACAUACUAUGAUCCAAAAACCCGCUCCAUGAGGGGAGACCCCUUGCCAGGUGUAGAUCCAAAAUGAUAAGUUCUACGUGGUAAGUAAUCUCUACUACUCUAUAAGGACCUAUUGUGGGUGUCCAAAAUGCUUCACCGUGCCCCCGCCUGCCUCCGCCCCUGCGACACCCCAACCCCUAAACCACGCUUGCUCCCCACGCAAUGGCCGCUCAUCCCUCCGCUGCACCCACCGCUCCAUCCACCGCAUUUCUGCCUGACCCCACCUCCACACCUCCGCGGGGGCGUAGCUCGUCGAUGUCACCCAACCGUGUCGUCCUUGGUUCCAUGCCCCCGCCUCCGUCUCCCGUCGACCAAUCCGCGUCGAUGUCACCCAAUCGCUCGGACUAGAGAAAAAAAUUCUGUGUUUUUAUGGACGCCCUUUCAGGUUUAUGUGUGCCUAAUUCAUAUGACAAUGUUGGGGCAUUACACUUGUGAUGUAAACAAUCUGUGACUUUUGUUUGAUUUCCAGGUAAUCAGCCAAAUAUAGUAUGUGGUCUGGAGUUCAUAUUUUUGCUACUUUUCUGGCGCGACGAUGUGGCGGAGGCGAUGGCAGGGCCUAGAACGGAUUAGUCAUCCUGCUCUGUGUUGGAAGUUAUGUGAAUUUUCUGCCUCCUAGCUCUAGAUGGAUGAUUUUCUUCAUUUUGCCAACUCCUUGUCAUUGCUUUCUACUGUUGUUUGUUUAUUUUAGUGCAGCAACGGAGCCUAUGAAGAAGCCCUAUUUUCUAUUUUUGUUUGCUAACUCUAAGCAGAUCGCUCGCUGAAGAAGCCCACCCUCCUCGCUAUAGAAGGUAUGUGUUUAACAGAUAUGUGUUGUUCUGAAAGAGCAUGGAACAACAAAGAAAAAGAAAAAUAAAAAAAGAAAGCACAAAGUCUGAACUUAUGAACUUCUGAAACCUACAGAUUAUUCUAAAAUUUCUAUUAAGUCUAAAAUUGUGAAAUUGUGAAAUUCGUGUUUAGUCUGAUCUUCUAUAAUUCUGAAAGUCUACAAUCACCUGAACAUUGGCUGAAAGUCUGCAGCCACCUGAAAGUCUGCAAAUAAAGAAGCACAACUUCAUCUUUAGCCGACCACGACGGUGGCGACGAUGUCGUUCUCCAUCCCGGAUGCGCGAGAGAUCCCUGCGGCAGUGGGUCAGAGGGGAGGGCUGAGCUCUGCCGCGGUGAUGGGAGGGAGUGGUCGAGGUGCUCGAAGCUCUCACUGACAGCAGUGGGGGAGAGGAGGAUACAAGUUUACUGUGGCUAGGGGAGGAGAGCGGGAGAGGAGAGCCUAUACAAUAGAAUUUGUAGCGACGCAUGGGCACCUAACUUUUUUAUAUAAUAGUGUUGAUCGACCUUUGGUUUGGCUGCUACACUUUGCAUUCAGGCUAACAAGGCAGAGAAUAAGAUUUCAUGGCACAUGUCUCGGAAAGAGGCAUAUCCUACUGCCUUAUUGUAAAGCCCAAAAUUGGUAUAAGAAAAAAAAUG
Molecule: long non-coding RNA, 2743 nt
Organism: Zea mays
Lineage: Eukaryota; Viridiplantae; Streptophyta; Magnoliopsida; Poales; Poaceae
Exons: 3
Source: RefSeq, a predicted model, not a curated record